GAUGAACGCUGGCGGCGUGCCUAAUACAUGCAAGUCGAGCGAACGGACGAGAAGCUUGCUUCUCUGAUGUUAGCGGCGGACGGGUGUGUAACACGUGGUUAACCUACCUUUAAGUCUUGGAUAACUUCGUGAAACCGUAUCUUAUACCGUCUAAUCUUUUGUACCGCAUGGUUCCAAAGUUUAAUACGGUCUUUCUGUCUCUUAUAGAUUGAUCCGCGCUGCAUUAGCUAGUUGGUAAGGUAACGGCUUACCAAGGCAACGAUGCAUAUCCGACCUGAGAGGGUGAUCGGCCACACUGGAACUGAGACACGGACAAGACUCCUACGGGAGGCAGCAGUAGGGAAGCUGCCGCAAUGGGCGAAAGCAUGACGGAGCAACGCCGCGUGAGUGAUGAAGGUCUUAGGAUCGUAAAACUCUGUUAUUAGGGAAGAAAAUAUGUGUAAGUAACUGUGCACAGAAUGACGGUACCUAAACAGAAAGCCACGGCUAACUACGUG
This 497-nucleotide ribosomal RNA is filed under the name uncultured bacterium. RNAcentral describes it as "partial 16S ribosomal RNA". It matches the Rfam family "Bacterial small subunit ribosomal RNA", at positions 28 to 507 of the family's 1533-position model. The record is from RNAcentral.